AUUGAACGCUGGCGGUAUGCUUAACACAUGCAAGUCGAACGGUAGCAGGCCUUCGGGCGCUGACGAGUGGCGGACGGGUGAGUAACGCGUAGGAAUCUGCCUCAUAGUGGGGGACAACGUGGGGAAACUCACGCUAAUACCGCAUACGCCCUACGGGGAAAGCGGGGGAGUCUUCGGACCUCGCGCUAUGAGAUGAGCCUGCGUUAGAUUAGCUAGUUGGUAGGGUAAAGGCCUACCAAGGCGACGAUCUAUAGCUGGUCUGAGAGGACGAUCAGCCACACUGGGACUGAGACACGGCCCAGACUCCUACGGGAGGCAGCAGUGGGGAAUAUUGGACAAUGGGCGCAAGCCUGAUCCAGCAAUACCGCGUGUGUGAAGAAGG
This 382-nucleotide ribosomal RNA is filed under the name uncultured bacterium. Its description in RNAcentral is "bacterial SSU rRNA". It matches the Rfam family "Bacterial small subunit ribosomal RNA", at positions 30 to 414 of the family's 1533-position model. The record is from RNAcentral.